UGGCCACCUUCUUUGUCUCUUCGAUGGCUUGUCUCACCUCCUCUGUAGCCUGCCUAGUCUCCUUGGUAGCCUUUGUUUGGGCCUCAGAUGCCUUAUGCUUCUUCUCUAGCAAGAGCUUUACUCAAUUAAAACUGACCAAGCCCUCACUGAGGAUGGUGACAGCAUAUGCCAAUUGCAUGAAAAAAAAAAGUUAGUAGCCACGGAUAAGAAUUGAACACAAGUGCAAAUGAUAAAAAACUUAUCCUAAGGAGGCUGGCAUAGGAAGUGCAACAACCUCA
This 278-nucleotide long non-coding RNA is filed under the name Elaeis guineensis (African oil palm). RNAcentral describes it as "long non-coding RNA (EGUI_LNC044068)". Lineage: Eukaryota; Viridiplantae; Streptophyta; Magnoliopsida; Arecales; Arecaceae. The record is from RNAcentral.